This 633-nucleotide ribosomal RNA is filed under the name fungal endophyte. RNAcentral describes it as "eukaryotic LSU rRNA". The stretch from base 179 to 332 matches the Rfam family "5.8S ribosomal RNA". Lineage: Eukaryota; Fungi. The record is from RNAcentral.
UAAAGAGUUCUAUAACUCCCAAACCCAUGUGAACAUACCUAACGUUGCCUCGGCAGGUCGCACCUACCUUGUAGCACCCUACCCUGUAGGGCCUACCCGGGAGGUGCGGGUAAGCCUGCCGGCGGCCCACCAAACUCUGUUUGAUAUUGAAUUCUGAACCUAUAACUAAAUAAGUUAAAACUUUCAACAACGGAUCUCUUGGUUCUGGCAUCGAUGAAGAACGCAGCGAAAUGCGAUAAGUAAUGUGAAUUGCAGAAUUCAGUGAAUCAUCGAAUCUUUGAACGCAUAUUGCGCCCAUUAGUAUUCUAGUGGGCAGGACCGUUCGAGCGUCAUUUCAACCCUUAAGCCUUCGUUGCUUAGUGUUGGGAGCCUACGGCAACGUAGCUCCUCAAAGUUAGUGGCGGAGUUGGUUCACACUCUAGACGUAGUAAUUUUUUAUCUCGCCUAUUAGUUGGACUAAUCCCCUGCCGUAAAACCCCCAAUUUAUCAAGGUUGACCUCGAAUCGGUUCAGACAAACUCGCUAAAUUGAAGCAUCUUAGUCAGCGAAGGAAAAGAAACCAACAGGGAUUGCCCUAGUAACGGCGAGUGAAGCGGCAACAGCUCAAAUUUGAAAUCUGGCCCUCGGGUCCGAG